Non-coding RNA from Heterocephalus glaber (naked mole-rat), 317 nucleotides. The record is from RefSeq and is a predicted model, not a curated record. Lineage: Eukaryota; Metazoa; Chordata; Mammalia; Rodentia; Bathyergidae.
GUCGGCUGCCGGGAGUGGUUGUUCCUUGGCCUCUGAAGUCUGUGGACUCAAGCGGAGAAGGACUAAUAUUCUGUGAGACCUUGAAUCAGAAACACCUGGUCUACCUCAGUUAAAUGGUGACUGCUUAGACUGUUUGACUAAGAAAAUUUAGGCAAUGUUGACAAGUCUGAAACCAAGAAAGGUUUUACCUGGAUGUCUGGAGAUACAAGAGCAGGUGUUUAAUUCAGGUGAACAUGAUAUAAGAAUACAUGCCUGCCAGGGAUUUAGCUCAGUGGUUCUGCUGCCUGCCUCGCAAGCACAAGGUCCGGAGUUUGAUC